RNAcentral lists this long non-coding RNA (9364 nucleotides) under Gossypium barbadense (sea-island cotton). RNAcentral's name for it is "long non-coding RNA (GBAR_LNC022887)". The record is from RNAcentral. Lineage: Eukaryota; Viridiplantae; Streptophyta; Magnoliopsida; Malvales; Malvaceae.
GGGAAAUAGCCGCCAAUUAUGCAACACUGAUGUUCCUGUAUUGAAUGAAGGCUGUAUAGUAGUUGGGAAUCAUGAAGAAGUAUUUCAAGUUCAAGGCGGGUACUCGUUCUCAAGCAUAAAAAAAUUGAAAUUGAGGAAUUUAUUUGAAGCACGGGUUAUAUGGAACGAUUUUGCUCAAGUUGUAACCCUUGAGAACCUUACAACUCUAACACUGAGUGAUUGCAAGAAGCUAAGAUAUAUUUUUUCACCUAUGAUGGCUCGCAGUUUAUCACAUUUGGUGGAUCUUUUCAUCGAGGGGUGUGAGGAAAUAGAACGAAUCAUUUUAGCCAAGGAUCAAGUUUCUUCAUCAUCAUCAAAUGGUGAUACUAGCCACCAACCUAAGAGCUUUCGAAAUUUGACUCGGAUCACUGUUACAAAUUGUAAAAAUUUGAACAGUCUCUUUCCUUUUGGAUUAUUUCCUGUUCUUUCAAAGCUUGAAAGUCUCAUAGUUGAAAGGAAUUCUAAAUUGGAACAAGUAUUCGAAUUAGAAGAAAAAGUGGAAGUGGUAGCUAAAGAGAAGAUGAAAUUUUAUAACUUAGAAAGGUUAUUACUUGAAGAACUACCUGGCCUCAUUCAGUUUUGUCCCAAAGGAUAUCAUUUUGUAUUCCCAAAAAUGAUGGAGUUGAAAGUAAGAGAUUGCCCUAAGUUAACUACUGGUUUCUUCAUUGAUUCACAGGCAUUUGUACAUUGCAAAACAAAGGUAUAUAUCCUACAACCCUUUAUUCCUACUUUAUUCUAUGUAAUUAUAACAAUUACAACUAAAGGCAUAACAUGCAAAAUUUUUAAUUAAAUUCCUUAAGUGUAUAUGCGUUUCAUAUUUUUUUCCUUGAUGACAUGAGAUUAAAGUUUUAGUUAUAAUUGUUUCUUUAAUUGAUUUCUAAGGUACCUUAUUUGGUUGAGCAAGAUGCGGUUGAAGAAUCUACCACUGUUCAAAAUGCAAUUUUCAACGAGAAUAUAGAUUGGAGCCGAUGGUUGCGUAAGAGUCAACUACCACACAUUACAUGAAAGAAUGGAUGAUUUUAGGGUAGCUUUCAGAGCCAUGUUACAUCAGUAGGUGGAGCAAUGUUGCUAAGAUGUUUUUAGUUAAUUGUCUGAUAUAAUUUGUGUAUGAUAGAACAUGACCUUUACCGGCGUUUUCCCACAAACGUCGCUAUAAAACAUGACAUGUAGCGAUGCUUUUCCGACAAACGUAACUAAAAAACAUGACCUUUAAAAAAAAUUUAAUUAAAUAAUAUUUAUUUCUAUGAUAAAAUAUUUUAUUUUGUUUUAUUUUUAAAAUUUAAACUUUAAACUAUAUACUAAAUAAAAAAAUAUUAAUUAAAUUAAAUUUUCUAUUAAAAUUUUAACUUUAAAACUAAAUAUAAAAAUUAAUAAAUUGAAAUUUAGAAUUUAAAUAUUAUGUUUUUAAUUCAAAGUUCAACUUUUGGCACACCUUACAAACAUGGGCUCUAAACAAGGAGAAAGAUUGCAUCUCGGGCACAAAAAUCAAAACAGUACAAAGGUAAUAUCUUCAAUAAUUUUACCGAUAAUAUCGAUACGGUAUAAUUUUAUCAAUAUUUAUGUAAUGACCUAAUAUUGCCCGGUCCAAUAUAAAAUAAUAAAACAACCCAAUUUAUUUUUACAAACCCAAAUUUAAAGCCCAAACUCACUACCUAAUAUAGACUCUAACCCAAAACACUAAACCUAAAACUCAAAUUAACCCCGAGCCCAAUAAAGUAAACCUAGUUAAACCUAGCCCUGUAAACAAACUAAGCCUGCAGAAACCCUAGCCUACAAGCCUCCAGCGCGCCGCUCCUUCCCCACGUGAGCCUCUGCCUCCAGAUUGGUUGCAUCCUUGCAAAGAAAUAACAGAAUAAUAGAAAAAUAAUUAGAGAAAAUAGCAAAUUUGUAAAACGGAUACUGGAUACGAAAAUAUAAAAAACAAAUCAACUAGCUUUGUUAUUUCAAGAUGAUUUUUCAGAUUCUAUCUUUUUUUUUUUUUGCUCUUGGUUUUAUCAUCUUUUUAUUAAAAUAUAAAACGAAAGGAAGGAGGAGAGAAGAUUUACCUCUACUAGUCCGCCGUCGGCCUUUGUCUGCUCUGUUAAUAUCAGAGUUGAAGGGGCUGUUGUUUCGGCUGGGAACGGCGGAGAGAGGAUAGCCUAGGGUUUGGUUUUAUUUUCCUUAGAAGUGAAAAAAUAAUUCUGAUUAGGUUUUGGUUUGGGAUUUUAUAAAGUAAUAAAAACGACAUCGUUUGAGACCUGCUUCAGUGGCCCCAAAACGGCAUCGUAUAAGAGCAUACCCGACUGACCCGACCCAGAGGCGGCUGAGAUCCGCGUGUUGUGGCCCUGCUAGGGUUAUUUUCGAAUUUGGUCCUCCCUCUUUCAUAGUGAUUUCGAAUCAGUUUUUCUUUAUUUGUAAAUUCCAUACUGCAUUUUGCUUUUGUUUCAUUUUGGCCCAGGCUGUACGUCGCGUUUUGGAGGGACAGGGGUUAUUUCCCCAUUGGUCCCCCAUAUUAUUAGCACACUGCAUUUUGUCCCCUCGAUUUUAUUUUAUUUGCGAAUUUUCUCUUUAAUUUGGUUUCAAAUCCAAUUUAAUCUUAUUUUUUUUAUUGGAUUAAAUGCAUAUUGUUUUCUAUAUAUUUAGUUUUAAAUCAAAUAUUUCCAUAUGGUUUAAGAUUAGUGAUAUUAUUUGAAUUUAUCACCAAAAUCAUUAACAUUGUUUAUAUUUAUCUUUGUAGUUGUUUUUUUAUUUAUCAUAUAUUACAAUUUUAAGUUUUCGUUUAUUAUUACUUAGAUUUAACAUAUUUUAUGAUUCGUAUAUUCUUUUGAUAUAGUUUUUUUAAUCUUUUAUUUAUUUUUUUAAAUUCUCUUUUAUAUUCCUAUAUUCCAAAAGUUAUAAUAAUACUUUCAUACCAUACUAUCAUAUACAUGCAAUUUUGAUUUUUUUUUUUAUUUCAUGAACAGAUUAUUGUUUUCCUAUUAUUAUAAGGGCAAACUACCAAAAAUAGUUACUUUUGUUUGCCCUAGGUUACAUUUUAGUCACUUAUGUUUGGAAUAUUACUUUUUAGUCACUUACGUUAUCGUGUUGUAACAUUUUAGUCACUGAGUCGUUAAUUGCCAACAAUGGUGUAACGGUAAGCUGAUGUGGCAUGUUAAAUCAUCAUUUCAAACAAAAAUUUUAGGUUAAAUUCUACAAUUGGUCCCUAUAUUUUUUCAUUUUAAACAAUUUUAAAAUUUUCUUUUAAGUUCUUUUAAAAAAUUUUUCCAUUCUCUUUUGCUUCUACCUCUAUUUUCCUCCCUUCUUCAUUUCUUUUAACAUAGUUUUUCUAUGUUUUCCAUUUGUAACUAGUCCACAAGCUCGCCUCACUCAAAUUCAUUUUUAUGUUCAUAAAAUAAUUAAUAUUUCAACCUUUUUUUAAAAGUUAUUUAUAGUUCAUUUAUUUUAAAAUUGAAUCAGCAAUUAGAAUUCUAUCACUCUCAUCGGCUAUUACCAUGAGUAUUGUAUUUUUAUUUUUUUAAUAGUCAUAAUUAUUUAUUUUAAAGUGGUUGGAGUAUCACAGUUGCGAAAUAUGAUAAAUACAUUUCUUUACAUAUGUUUUGAUAAAGAAAUUCUUUAAAACUUUGCUUAUUUCCAUUCUCAUGCACACAAAGUCACACACCUUUGUUUUGUUUCAUACUCUUCUUUUUCUUCUCUUUCACAUGCUUGCUUUUACGUAUCACAUAUAUAUGAAACCUAUUUAUAGGCUUAUAAAAUGCAUUAUGAAUUGUUCUCUCAUUUUUAUUUAGAUUUUAACUAUUGAAAUAUGUGUUUGCAAACACUUUAUCUCAGGGAUUUCCAUUGUUGGAAUCUAUUUACCUAAGUAACUGCCCUCAACUACUACAUGUCUUCAAGGUCAGUUUGAUAUUGUUAACUUACAAUAUGUUUUGUAUAAUUAGGAAUUUCCUUUAGAUUGCUAACUUACAAGGUCAGUUUGAUAUUGUUAAAAAAACUCACAUUUUAGUGUCAAAGGAAGUAUUCAUUCUCUAGAGCACUAAAUUGAUAUGGAGACCUGUUCCAUAUUUAUUAUAUUGGCAACUUAUUGAAUGACUUUUAUGGGGUAUGAUUGAGUCUAUGAUUGAUAUCUAGACCAUUUUAGAAGAUCAUAUCACUUAAGAGAUUAUCUUUUGGAGAUUGAAUUGAUUUGAAAUUACCUAAGAUAAUCCCUUGAAUCAUGGACUUUGAUUUGGUUUGUGAUUCUAUCUAUGGUUGAAUCAUGUUUGUAAUCUCCUUGUGACGAGGACACCAAUGUAACUUGGAUACCACUUAUUGGAAGUGUAGUAGUGACUAAGGAAAUUAACUUUUAUUACUCAAAACAAAUAUACUUACACAAAAUACAAAUAUAUUUUCCCCUCUCUCAAUUUCUAGUUACCACUAGUUAUACACUCACAAUUCACUCUUUGCGUAUUUCCGCUAUUGUGCACACAAACUCACACACAUUUCUUUCAUUUCUUACUCUUUCUUUUUCUUCAUAUCACAAAUAUAUGAAACCUUAUUAUAGGCUCAAAAACCACCUCAUCAAUUGCCACCUCUCUCAUUUUAUGUUUAUUUUAUUUAUUUAUUUAUUUAUGUAUAAGCCUUCAAUUAAUUCCAUGCCACCUUGACUUUUGCCCAUGGAUUGCCCACUUAUAAGGUUUGUUUGACUUCAACACAAUUUACAUGAUAGAAGAAUGUAAUUAUUUAUAUAGAAGGAAAUUCUAUCUUUUAUUUAAUUUAUAAUAAUGCUUUAAUAUUUUUAUAAUUUAAAAUAAAUAUUUGCAUUUAAGUUGCUAAUGAUGUUUUAGUCUAAUAACAAAAAUAUUAUAUCGUAGAUAUGAACAAACAAUUUCGUUCUGCAUUCCUAAUUAUAAAAAAUAAAUUUAAUUUUCUUUAUUUCGAUUGUGCGUUUUAUAAACAGCUAUAAAAGAAACUAAAAGAAACUAAGCAGCAUAUACGUGUUUUUAUAUUUUAUCUUUUAAUUAAUAAUCUAUUUUUAUAUUGAUAUGCUCAAUUUUUUAUAAUAAAAGAAAUAACUUACUAAGAUGUGUGUUUGAAACAUGUAGAAUGACUCUUCUCUUUGUUGUUGGCCGAAAUUGAGGAGUCUUCGCAUACAAUUUUGCCCAAAUUUGAAAUAUGUUUGUGCGACCACUUGGACUCAAGGGCUUCAAUCCUUGGAAUAUGUUUACAUAACAGAAUGUUCUCAACUUAUACAAGUCUUCAACAUGGAGCAAAAUAAGCAUGGACAAGAUAUUGUGCUUCCUGAACUUGGGUCACAGGUACUUCUGUAUUUACAUUUUUAAAGCUGAGCAAAGAGUUGAAAAAAUUGAAAGUUAAUAUGAAUUGUAGUGUUCAAUUCAAUUUUUUUAUUGAGUUUAAAUCAAAUAAAACAUGCACGUACCAUAUGACAACCAUUUAAAAAUAUAAAAAGUUAUAAUUUAAAAAUUAAAUUACAACUAUAUGUUUUUAAAAUUAGUAUAUCAAAUUAAUUUAUAAAUUUUUAUUAUCAAAUACUAAUAUACUGUAAUAUUCAUAUUAUAAAUAGUAAAAAUUAAAAUAGAGAAAUAUUAUAUAUUUAUUUUCUAUUGAUGUUAAGCUUUAAUAUAUUUAUUUAUAUUUUAUAUUUAUUUAAUAUAAUAAUGAUUAUUUAAAUUAUAUUUUAGAAAAUUAUUAAAUUAAUUUACCAUUAAAUGAUUUUUUUUGCAAGGCUACCGUAUUUUAAUUUGAUAAUUUAUGUGAGAUAUUAAAACAGUGAGAUAUUAAUUUACCAUUAAAUAGUUUAUGAUUAUUUAAAUAUAAUUAUUUAAAUUAUAUUUUGAGAUAUUUGUUUUAGAAAAUGCAUCAAGAAUUGUUGUCUCUCAUUUUUAUUUAGAUUUUAUCUAUUUAUAGAAAAACUUUUAAUUAAUUCCAUGCCACUUAUUCUACCUUUAGAUUGCUAACUUACAAGGUCAGUUUGAUAUUGUUGAAAAAUAUCAAACUCGCAUUAUUUUAAUGUCAAAGGAAGUAUUCAUUCCCUAAAGCACCAAAUUGAUAUGGAGACCUUUGAGUUAUCUUUUGGAGAUUGGAUUAAUUUAAAAGCCCAAGACAAUCUCUUGGAUCAUAGACUUUGAGUUAGCUUAUUGCUUUUUUGGGGAGACACCAUGUGCAUCUAACCAUUGGUAUGCUAAAAGAAACUAAGCUGCAUAUACAUGUUUUUAUAUUUUAUCUUUUAAUUAAUAAUCUAUUUUUAUAUUGUUAUGCUCAAUUUUUUUAUAAUAAAAUAAAUAACUUACUAAGAUGUCUGUUUGAUACAUGUAGAAUGACUCCCCUCUUUGUUGUUGGCCGAAAUUGAGGAUUCUUCACAUAGAAUUUUGCCCAAAAUUGAAAUAUGUUUGUGCAAACACUUGGACUCGAGGGCUUCAAUCCUUGGAAUCUGUUUUCAUUAGAGAUUGUUCUCAACUUAUACAAGUCUUCAACAUGGAACAAAAUAAGCAUGGACAAGAUAUUGUGCUUCCUGAACUUGGAUCACAGGUACUUCUGUAUUUACAUUUUUAAGGCUGAGCAAAGACUUGAAAAAAUUGAAAAUUAAUUUGAAUUGUAGGGUUCAAUUCAAUUUUUUAUUGAGUUUAAAUCAAAUAGAACAUGCACGUACCAUAUGACAACCAUUUAAAAAUAUAAAAAGUUAUAAUUUAAAAAUUAAAUUACAACUAUAUGUUUUUAAAAUUAGUAUAUCAAAUUAAUUUAAAAUUUUUAUUAUCAAAUACUAAUAUACUAUAAUAUUCAUAUUAUAAAUAAUUCAUGCAUAAUUAUAAAUAGUAAAAAUUAAAAUAGAGAAAUAUUAUAUAUUUAUUUUCUAUUGAUGUUAAGAUUUAAUAUAUUUAUUUAAUAUAGUAAUGAUUAUUUAAAUUAUAUUUUAGAAAAUUGUUAAAUUAAUUUACCAUUAUAUGAUUUGUUUUUGCAAGAUUACCAUAUUUUAAUUUGAUAAUUCAUGUGAGAUAUUAAAACAGUGUUUGUAUAAAUAUAUAUUGAUAUCAUUGUAGAAUGAAUUUAUUUGAGUAGUGGUUAGUUCUACCUAAUAAAUAUUAUUUGAUGGCAAGAAUUUUGGUAAAUUUAACUAAUAAAUAUUGAUAUCAUUGACGGAAUUGAGGUGCAUAUGGAAUGAAUCGAAUCAUUGCGUUAACCUCUAUAGUCUGAUGACUAUUAGAAUAACUUAUCAAAGUCCAUUUUUAGAUAUUAAUAUUUUUAUUCAAAACUUCGGGUUGGAUUAAAAAAAAUUGUUUUCAUAAUUCUUUGAUUUAAAAGUUGAACGAGUAUCAGAGUUCAAUCUCUCUCAUCGACUUUUACAAUGAAUAUUGUAUUUUUAUAUUUUAAUUGUCAUGAUUAAUGAUUUUGAAGUGGUUGGGGCAUCACAGUUUCAAAAUAUAAUAAAUGUAUCUCUUUAUAAUUGGUACAUUCAAAGAUCAAUUGAUUUCUUUUUCUUAUGUUUUGGUAAAGAAAUUCUUUAAAAAUUAAAUUAUGUUUAAUAAAUCAUAUUCCUCAUUUUUAUUUAAACAAAUAUAUUUUGUAUAAUAUUUAAUUAUGUGGCUCAUUCAUGUAGAAUCAUUGCUGGACAAAACUGAAAACUCUCCAGAUAGAGGAUUGCCAACUAUUGAAAUAUGUGUUUGCAAACACUUUAUCUCAGGGAUUUCCAUCGUUGGAAUCUCUUUACCUAAAGAAUUGCCCUCAACUACUACAAGUCUUCAGUUCGACAGAAGAAAGGGAUGUGAUUGGUGAUCACAUUCUACUUAAUGUGCCCUUUCUGAAAAAUUUAGAAGUGUCAAAUUGUCCCCAAAUCUCAUGCUUCAUUGUACAAGCUCAGCUCAUAGAGGUAUUUAGAUUGUUCGCAUUUUAUAUAUGGAUUUUGGCACUAUAGCAAAUCAGUAAAUCGAUAUGUUGCUUAGUUUAUGUGAUAAUUCAUUCCUAUUUUAUACAUAGUUUGAAAAUGAAUUCCAUUGUUCACUCUUUAAAUAAAAAUGUAUCAAGCAAUGGCCUUUUGUGUUUAAUUAAUUUGGAAGAUAUUUUAGGGGUUUAGAUUUUAAAAAUAUAUCCUUUAAAAAAAAUCAAAGAUACAUGUAGCAUUGAGAUUAGAGAAGUAGUAUUUUCUAUUACUUGGAAUAUGUAAAAUUAUGAAGACUUAUGGGUAACAUUUACUCUAGUGUGUUUUUAUGACAUUUAUUAGGAUUUCUAUGUAUGCAGGAAUUGGUUCUUAGUAACGUGGGAAAUAGCCGCCAAUUAUGCAACACUGAUGUUCCUGUAUUGAAUGAAGGCUGUAUAGUAGUUGGGAAUCAUGAAGAAGUAUUUCAAGUUCAAGGCGGGUACUCGUUCUCAAGCAUAAAAAAAUUGAAAUUGAGGAAUUUAUUUGAAGCACGGGUUAUAUGGAACGAUUUUGCUCAAGUUGCAACCCUUGAGAACCUUACAACUCUAACACUGAGUGAUUGCAAGAAGCUAAGAUAUAUUUUUUCACCUAUGAUGGCUCGCAGUUUAUCACAUUUGAAGGAUCUUUCCAUCGAGGGGUGUGAGGAAAUAGAACGACUCAUUUUAGACAAGGAUCAAGUUUCUUCAUCAUCAUCAAAUGGUGAUACUAGCCUCCAACCUAUGAGCUUUCCAAAUUUGACUGAGAUUGUUGUUAUAGAUUGUAAAAAUUUGAGCAGUCUCUUUCCUUUUGGAUUUGUUCCUGUUCUUCCAAUGCUUGAAAGUCUCAGAGUUGAAAGGAAUUCUAAAUUGGAACAAGUAUUCGAAUUAGAAGAAAAAGUGGAAGUGGUAGCUAAAGAGAAGAUGAUAUUUGAUAACUUAAAAAGGUUAUUACUUGAAGAACUACCUGGCCUCAUUCAGUUUUGUCCCAAAGGAUAUCAUUCUGUAUUCCCAAAAAUGAUGCAGUUGAAAGUAAGAGAUUGCCCUAAGUUGACUACUGGUUUCUUCAUUGAUUCACAGGAAUUUGUACAUUGCAAAACAAAGGUAUAUAUCCUACAACCCUUUAUUCCUACUUUAUUCUAUGUAAUUAUAACAAUUACAACUGAAGGCAUAACAUGCAAAAUUUUUAAUUAAAUUCCUUAAGUGUAUAUGCGUUUCAUAUUUUUUUCCUUGAUGACAUGAGAUUAAAGUUUUAGUUAUAAUUGUUUCUUUAAUUGAUUUCUAAGGUACCUCAGUUGGUUGAGCAAGAUGCGGUUGAAGAGUCUACCACUAUUCGAAAUGCAAUUUUCAAUGAGAAUAUAUAUUGGAGCCGACUUUGGGGUGAGAGUCAACUACCACACAUUGCAUGAAAGAAUGGAUGGUUUUAGGGCAGCCUUCAAAGCCAUGUUACAUCAGUAGGUAGAGC